CGGUAAUUCCCGUUCCAAUAGCGUAUACUAAAGUUGUUGCAGUUAAAAAGCUCGUAGUUGGAUUUCUGCGGGGACGGAGCGGCCGGUCGCAACUUGCGACUCGAGCUAGCGCUUUCCCCGCAUCCUGCCGCGAACCGUGCUACCAUUAGCUUGGUGGCGCUGGGGAUCGGCUCGAUUACUUUGAGAAAAAUAGAGUGUUCAAAGCAGGCCACACGCCUUGAAUAAGUUAGCAUGGAAUAAUGACUAAGGACUUCGGUUCUAUUUUGUUGGUGUUCGGGACUGAAGUAAUGAUUGAUAGGGACAGUUGGGGCGGUCUGUAUUCCAAAGCGAGAGGUGAAAUUCUUAGACCUUCGGAAGACAAACAGCUGCGAAAGCGUUCCGCAAGGAUGUUCCCUUUGAUCAAGAACGAAAGUUGGGGGAUCGAAGACGAUCAGAUACCGUCGUAGUCUCAACUAUAAACUAUACCAGCUAGGGAUCGGUCAACGUUUAAUCAUUCGACUUGAUCGGCACCUUAUGAGAAAUCAAAGCAUCUGGGUUCCGGGGGGAGUAUGGUCGCAAGGCUGAAACUUAAAGGAAUUGACGGAAGGGCCCCACCAGCCGUGGAGCCUGUGGCUUAAUUUGACUCAACACGGGAAAACUUACCAGGUCCAGACAUAGUAAGGAUUGACAGAUUGAUAGCUCUUUCUUGAUUCUGUGGGUGGUGGUGCAUGGCCGUUCUUAGUUGGUGGAGUGAUUUGUCUGGUUAAUUCCGUUAACGAACGAGACCCCAGCCUGCUAAAUAGCGCGGCUGAGCUUUGCUCGGUGCGAGCUUCUUAGAGGGACUAUGAUGCGCGAUAGCACAUGGAAGUUUGGGGCAAUAACAGGUCUGUGAUGCCCUUAGAUGUUCUGGGCCGCACACGGGCUACACUGGCGCCUGCAACGAGCAUAUCAGCUGGCCCGAGAGGGUCUUGGCUAAUCUUUUGAACCGGCGCCGUGCUUGGGAUUGACCAUUGCAAUUGUUGGUCAUGCAACGAGGAAUGCCUUGUAAACGCGAGUCAUCAGCUCGCAUUGAAUACGUCCCUGCCCUUUGUACACACCGCCCGUCGCUCCUACCGAUGAAUGUUCCGAUGAAAUUUUCGGAGAGCGCCAGAGAACGGGGCUCUGCCUUGCAGAUCUGGAGGCUCAAAGUCACUUAAAUCUGAACAUUUCGAGGAAGGAGAAGUCGUAACAAGGUAGCCG
Molecule: ribosomal RNA, 1218 nt
Filed under: uncultured Rhizaria
Lineage: Eukaryota
Description: SSU rRNA
Rfam family: Eukaryotic small subunit ribosomal RNA
Source: RNAcentral